GGAGGCUGAAAGAAAGGGUGUCUCCUGGAUCUGUCUCUUGCUUCAACAGUGUUUGGAUGGAAAGACCCAGGGACGCCCGUUCUUCCAGUCUCCAGCCACUCUCCUGCGUCUCACCCAGUCACCACCUUCAGAACCACCUCCAGGACCAGCCAAUACACCAGUGUUUUUGCUGAACAACCAUGAGCUCCCAAAUUCGUCAGAAUUGUUCCACCCAGGUGAAGGCUUCGGUCAAUCACCUGGCCAACCUUCAUCUGCGGGCCUCCUACACCUACCUCUCUCUGGGCUACUAUUUUAAUCUUGAGGAUGUGGCUUGGGAG
This is a long non-coding RNA of Pipistrellus kuhlii (Kuhl's pipistrelle), 317 nucleotides long. RefSeq lists it as uncharacterized. The transcript has 4 exons. NCBI's taxonomy places the organism in Eukaryota, Metazoa, Chordata, Mammalia, Chiroptera, Vespertilionidae. The record is from RefSeq and is a predicted model, not a curated record.